AUGAACGCUGGCGGCGUGCCUCAUCCAUGCAAGUCGCGCGAACAGACGAGGAGCUUGCUCCUCUGACGUUAGCGGCGGACGGGUGAGUAACACGUGGAUAACCUACCUAUAAGACUGGGAUAACUUCGGGAAACCGGAGCUAAUACCGGAUAAUAUAUUGAACCGCCUGGUUCAAUAGUGAAAGACGGUUUUGCUGUCACUUAUAGAUGGAUCCGCGCCGCAUUAGCUAGUUGGUAAGGUAACGGCUUACCAAGGCAACGAUGCGUAGCCGACCUGAGAGGGUGAUCGGCCACACUGGAACUGAGACACGGUCCAGACUCCUACGGGAGGCAGCAGUAGGGAAUCUUCCGCAAUGGGCGAAAGCCUGACGGAGCAACGCCGCGUGAGUGAUGAAGGUCUUCGGAUCGUAAAACUCUGUUAUUAGGGAAGAACAAAUGUGUAAGUAACUAUGCACGUCUUGACGGUAUCUAAUCAGAAAGCCACGGCUAACUACGUG
This 496-nucleotide ribosomal RNA is filed under the name uncultured bacterium. RNAcentral's name for it is "partial 16S ribosomal RNA". It matches the Rfam family "Bacterial small subunit ribosomal RNA", at positions 29 to 507 of the family's 1533-position model. The record is from RNAcentral.